UGAAGCGGCAAGAGCUCAAAUUUGAAAGCUGGCUCCUUCGGGGUCCGCAUUGUAAUUUGCAGAGGAUGCUUCGGGUGCGGCCCCUGUCUAAGUGCCCUGGAACGGGCCGUCAGAGAGGGUGAGAAUCCCGUCUGGGAUGGGGUGUCCGCGCCCGUGUGAAGCUCCUUCGACGAGUCGAGUUGUUUGGGAAUGCAGCUCUAAAUGGGUGGUAAAUUUCAUCUAAAGCUAAAUACUGGCCGGAGACCGAUAGCGCACAAGUAGAGUGAUCGAAAGAUGAAAAGCACUUUGAAAAGAGAGUUAAAAAGCACGUGAAAUUGUUGAAAGGGAAGCGCUUGCGACCAGACUCGCCUCCAGGGUUCAGCCGGCAUUCGUGCCGGUGUACUUCCCUGGGGGCGGGCCAGCGUCGGUUUGGGCGGCCGGUCAAAGGCUCCCGGAAUGUAGUGCCCUUCGGGGCACCUUAUAGCCGGGAGUGCAAUGCGGCCAGCCUGGACCGAGGAACGCGCUUCGGCACGGACGCUGGCAUAAUGGUCGCAAACGACCCGUCUUGAAACACGGACCAAGGAGUCUAACAUCUACGCGAGUGUUCGGGUGUCAAAA
Molecule: ribosomal RNA, 597 nt
Filed under: Aspergillus tamarii
Lineage: Eukaryota; Fungi; Ascomycota; Eurotiomycetes; Eurotiales; Aspergillaceae
Description: eukaryotic LSU rRNA
Rfam family: Eukaryotic large subunit ribosomal RNA
Source: RNAcentral